Non-coding RNA from Nematostella vectensis (starlet sea anemone), 84 nucleotides. The record is from Rfam. Lineage: Eukaryota; Metazoa; Cnidaria; Anthozoa; Actiniaria; Edwardsiidae.
GUCAGGAUGGCCGAGCGGUUUCAGGCGCUGCUUUCAGGUCGCAGUCUUGUUCUCCAGGCGUGGGUGCGAAUCCCACUCCUGACA